Molecule: transfer RNA, 91 nt
Filed under: Pseudomonadota bacterium
Lineage: Bacteria; Pseudomonadati; Pseudomonadota
Description: Proteobacteria bacterium (activated sludge metagenome) tRNA-Ser
Rfam family: tRNA
About the family: Transfer RNA (tRNA) molecules are approximately 80 nucleotides in length. Their secondary structure includes four short double-helical elements and three loops (D, anti-codon, and T loops).
Source: RNAcentral
GGAUGGAUGGCCGAGCGGUUUAUGGCACCGGUCUUGAAAACCGGCGUACGUUUAUAGCGUACCGUGGGUUCGAAUCCCACUCCAUCCGCCA